UACGUAGGCAGCGAGCGUUGUUCGGAGUUACUGGGCGUAAAGAGUGCGUAGGCGGUUUUCUAAGUUUGGUGUGAAAUCUCCCGGCUCAACUGGGAGGAUGCGCCGAAGACUGGAAGGCUCAGAGUGUGGGAGAGGUAAGCGGAAUUCCUGGUGUAGCGGUGAAAUGCGUAGAUAUCAGGAGGAACACCUGCGGUGUAGACGGCUUACUGGACCAUAACUGACGCUGAGGCACGAAAGCGUGGGUAGCAAACAGG
This 254-nucleotide ribosomal RNA is filed under the name uncultured bacterium. RNAcentral describes it as "partial 16S ribosomal RNA". It matches the Rfam family "Bacterial small subunit ribosomal RNA", at positions 524 to 776 of the family's 1533-position model. The record is from RNAcentral.